AGGUGAACUGCGGAAGGUCAUUA
RNAcentral lists this ribosomal RNA (23 nucleotides) under Fucus evanescens. RNAcentral's name for it is "partial 18S ribosomal RNA". Lineage: Eukaryota; Phaeophyceae; Fucales; Fucaceae. The record is from RNAcentral.